RNAcentral lists this ribosomal RNA (301 nucleotides) under uncultured bacterium. RNAcentral's name for it is "partial 16S ribosomal RNA". It matches the Rfam family "Bacterial small subunit ribosomal RNA", at positions 509 to 808 of the family's 1533-position model. The record is from RNAcentral.
CAGCAGCCGCGGGAACACGUAGGUGGCAAGCGUUGUCCGGAAUUAUUGGGCGUAAAGCGCGCGCAGGCGGAUCGGUCAGUCUGUCUUAAAAGUUCGGGGCUUAACCCCGUGAUGGGAUGGAAACUGCCAAUCUAGAGUAUCGGAGAGGAAAGCGGAAUUCCCAGUGUAGCGGUGAAAUGCGUAGAUAUUGGGAGGAACACCAGUGGCGAAGGCGGCUUUCUGGACUGCAACUGACGCUGAGGCUCGAAAGCCAGGGGAGCGAACGGGAUUAGAUACCCGAGUAGUCCCUGUCUCUUAUACC